RNAcentral lists this long non-coding RNA (383 nucleotides) under Trifolium pratense (red clover). RNAcentral's name for it is "long non-coding RNA (TPRA_LNC003235)". Lineage: Eukaryota; Viridiplantae; Streptophyta; Magnoliopsida; Fabales; Fabaceae. The record is from RNAcentral.
AUCCUUCUUGUACUCACGACUACGAUUGUCCAUUUAUUGAAUGCCCCACUCAUCAUAUGAAGUGCAUUUGUAAUAGGUGUUAUUGCGACUAGCAUUAUGGUGAAGUUUAAAAAUAAUUCUAUGCAUGUAAGACUUUAUUUGAACAUCGUAAUGUUGUUAUUUACAUAUGAUUUCUAUCAUACUUUGAUAUAUCUAUUUUCCUUACUUUUCAAUUUUUUUGACUGGCGUAGAAGCAUAUCGAUUUAUAUCAUCGUAAUGUUGUAGAUGGAGAACAAUUGUUACCUAAUUAUAAUUUAUGUGCUUCAAUGUAAUAUGAUUAUAAGAAGUGAUAAUAUACUUUCAACAUUUUUUGAAUAAAAAUUAAUGGCAUGUGAUAUAAAGUG